Picea glauca (white spruce) is the source of this 127-nucleotide non-coding RNA. The record is from Rfam. NCBI's taxonomy places the organism in Eukaryota, Viridiplantae, Streptophyta, Pinopsida, Pinales, Pinaceae.
UUAUGUACAUUCUUAUAACAUAGCGUUUAUGCACUGAAUCCCAUUAUAACUCCACAAUUAAGCACACUUGGGAUAGAGUAAUAUUAGGAUGGGUGACCACCUUGGAAGUCCUAGUAUUUGACAUGAC